UGGUGGAGUUCCACAACACAUGUUCCUCUCAUCGAUAUGUUCGACUUCAAGUCCAAUAAACCAAGCCCCGAGUGACACAUCUUCAUUGGCAUACUUGUGUAGUAUAGCCUGAUUAAUUGAGAUGUAUGUCGCCAGAUCCUUCGAAAUGGCAUAGAUCUGCCCGGUUGCAUGUCGGAAGUACUUAUUCCCUUCCUCCCCAAAUUUCCAGUAUUCUGGCUCGUGAUACUUGGUAUUCUUCUGAGCGAGAACUGGACCAG
Molecule: unclassified non-coding RNA, 257 nt
Filed under: Hevea brasiliensis (rubber tree)
Lineage: Eukaryota; Viridiplantae; Streptophyta; Magnoliopsida; Malpighiales; Euphorbiaceae
Source: RNAcentral